CUACGGGGUGCAGCAGUGAGGAAUUUUGCGCAAUGGGGGCAACCCUGACGCAGCAACGCCGCGUGAGUGAAGAAGGCCCUUGGGUCGUAAAGCUCUGUCAACAGGGAAGAAGUUACUUCAUAUUAAUAGUAUGUAGUAUUGACGGUACCUGUGGAGGAAGCAUCGGCUAACUCCGUGCCAGCAGCCGCGGUAAUACGGGGGAUGCAAGCGUUAUUCGGAAUCAUUGGGCGUAAAGGGCACGCAGGCGGCUCUGUCAGUCAGAUGUGAAAGCCCGGGGCUCAACCCCGGACGUGCAUUUGAAACAGCAGAGCUUGAGUACGGUAGAGGAAAGCGGAAUUCCUGGUGUAGAGGUGAAAUUCGUAGAUAUCAGGAGGAACACCGGUGGCGAAGGCGGCUUUCUGGACCGAAACUGACGCUGAGGUGCGAAGGCGUGGGUAGCGAACAGGAUUAGAUACCCGGGUAGUC
Molecule: ribosomal RNA, 465 nt
Filed under: uncultured bacterium
Lineage: Bacteria
Description: partial 16S ribosomal RNA
Rfam family: Bacterial small subunit ribosomal RNA
Source: RNAcentral